RNAcentral lists this unclassified non-coding RNA (328 nucleotides) under soil metagenome. Its description in RNAcentral is "partial contains 5.8S ribosomal RNA, internal transcribed spacer 2, and large subunit ribosomal RNA". The stretch from base 1 to 120 matches the Rfam family "5.8S ribosomal RNA", at positions 35 to 154 of the family's 154-position model. The record is from RNAcentral.
GAUGAAGAACGCAGCUAAAUGCGAUAAGUAAUGUGAAUUGCAGAAUUCAGUGAAUCAUCGAAUCUUUGAACGCACAUUGCGCCCCUUGGUAUUCCGAGGGGCAUGCCUGUUCGAGCGUCAUUAUAACCCUCAAGCUCAGCUUGGUGUUGGGGCCUGCUGCACUGGCAGCCCUUAAAAUCAGUGGCGGCGCCAUCUGGCUCUAAGCGUAGUAAUUCUUCUCGCUAUGGAGUCCUGGUGGAUGCUUGCCAUCAACCCCCAAUUUUUCUAUGGUUGACCUCGGAUCAGGUAGGGAUACCCGCUGAACUUAAGCAUAUCAAUAAGCGGAGGA